RNAcentral lists this ribosomal RNA (710 nucleotides) under Faecalibacterium prausnitzii. Its description in RNAcentral is "bacterial SSU rRNA". It matches the Rfam family "Bacterial small subunit ribosomal RNA", at positions 426 to 1162 of the family's 1533-position model. The record is from RNAcentral. Lineage: Bacteria; Bacillati; Bacillota; Clostridia; Eubacteriales; Oscillospiraceae.
UAAACUCCUGUUGUUGAGGAAGAUAAUGACGGUACUCAACAAGGAAGUGACGGCUAACUACGUGCCAGCAGCCGCGGUAAAACGUAGGUCACAAGCGUUGUCCGGAAUUACUGGGUGUAAAGGGAGCGCAGGCGGGAAGGCAAGUUGGAAGUGAAAUCCAUGGGCUCAACCCAUGAACUGCUUUCAAAACUGUUUUUCUUGAGUAGUGCAGAGGUAGGCGGAAUUCCCGGUGUAGCGGUGGAAUGCGUAGAUAUCGGGAGGAACACCAGUGGCGAAGGCGGCCUACUGGGCACCAACUGACGCUGAGGCUCGAAAGUGUGGGUAGCAAACAGGAUUAGAUACCCUGGUAGUCCACACUGUAAACGAUGAUUACUAGGUGUUGGAGGAUUGACCCCUUCAGUGCCGCAGUUAACACAAUAAGUAAUCCACCUGGGGAGUACGACCGCAAGGUUGAAACUCAAAGGAAUUGACGGGGGCCCGCACAAGCAGUGGAGUAUGUGGUUUAAUUCGACGCAACGCGAAGAACCUUACCAAGUCUUGACAUCCUGCGACGCACAUAGAAAUAUGUGUUUCCUUCGGGACGCAGAGACAGGUGGUGCAUGGUUGUCGUCAGCUCGUGUCGUGAGAUGUUGGGUUAAGUCCCGCAACGAGCGCAACCCUUAUGGUCAGUUACUACGCAAGAGGACUCUGGCCAGACUGCCGUUGACAAA